GGAAAAGGUGCACACACGGAAGGAGGAGCAUUUGGAAAAGCCUUGCAGACCUUUGCGGAAAACAAAACAGCAACCACGUUUUACCGAAACGCCAGUGGGAACAAUGCACCUUAAACGCGGGAGGCCACUUAACAUACUCGUCGGUUCAUCAUGCGGCGGCGGUGGCUCCGACACCAAGAUCAAAACAGUACUCGAACCGAAUAAGGUGCAACACUUGAUCGAGCAGAUUGAGUUGUUUUACAUCCGAUAAAAUAAAAUAAUAUGCUAUUAUCAAUAAAUAAUAACUAUUUUUAUUUCAA
Long non-coding RNA from Culex quinquefasciatus (southern house mosquito), 299 nucleotides. RefSeq lists it as uncharacterized. The transcript is spliced from 2 exons. Lineage: Eukaryota; Metazoa; Arthropoda; Insecta; Diptera; Culicidae. The record is from RefSeq and is a predicted model, not a curated record.